Molecule: ribosomal RNA, 914 nt
Filed under: uncultured archaeon
Lineage: Archaea
Description: bacterial SSU rRNA
Rfam family: Archaeal small subunit ribosomal RNA
Source: RNAcentral
UUCCGGUUGAUCCUGCCGGAGGCUACCGCUAUUGGAAUCCGAUUAAGCCAUGCGAGUCUAAAGGACUUCGGUCCUUGGCGGACUGCUCAGUAACACGUGGAGAACCUACCCUUAGGUAGGGGAUAAUCCCGGGAAACUGGGAAUAAUACCCUAUAGAUCUAGGAUGCUGGAAUGCCUCUAGGUUGAAAGCUCCGGCGCCUGAGGAUGGCUCUGCGGCCUAUCAGGUUGUAGUGAGGGUAACGGCCUCACUAGCCGACGACGGGUACGGGCCCUGAGAGGGGGAGCCCGGAGAUGGACUCUGAGACACGAGUCCAGGCCCUACGGGGCGCAGCAGGCGCGAAAACUCCGCAAUGCCCGCAAGGGUGACGGGGGGAUUCCAAGUGCCUACGCUUAGCGUAGGCUGUUCAAGUGCCUAAAAAGCACUUGGAGUAAGGGCUGGGUAAGACGGGUGCCAGCCGCCGCGGUAAUACCCGCAGCCCGAGUGGUAGUCGGUUUUAUUGGGCCUAAAGCGUCCGUAGCCGGUCUGGUAAAUGCCUGGGUAAAUCGUGGGGCUUAACUUCACGAAUUCCGGGUAGACUACCAGACUUGGGACCGGUUGAAGGAGAGGGUACUCCAGGGGUAGGGGUGAAAUCCUGUAAUCCUUGGAGGACCACCGGUGGCUAAAGCGCUCUCCUAGGACGGGUCCGACGGUGAGGGACGAAAGCCAGGGGAGCAAACCGGAUUAGAUACCCGGGUAGUCCUGGCCGUAAACGAUGUGGGCUUGGUAUUGGGGGUCCCACGAGGGCGCCCAGUGCCGUAGCGAAGGCGUUAAGCCCACCGUCUGGGGAGUAUGGUCGCAAGGCUGAAACUUAAAGGAAUUGGCGGGGGAGCACAGCAACGGGAGGAGCGUGCGGUUUAAUUGGAUUCAUUCCGGG